GGUAUUCUUUCUCUCCCCAGA
Molecule: small nuclear RNA, 21 nt
Filed under: Arabidopsis thaliana (thale cress)
Lineage: Eukaryota; Viridiplantae; Streptophyta; Magnoliopsida; Brassicales; Brassicaceae
Description: snRNA_06424
Source: RNAcentral